RNAcentral lists this ribosomal RNA (435 nucleotides) under uncultured bacterium. RNAcentral describes it as "bacterial SSU rRNA". It matches the Rfam family "Bacterial small subunit ribosomal RNA", at positions 958 to 1392 of the family's 1533-position model. The record is from RNAcentral.
AACGCGAAGAACCUUACCAGGCCUUGACAUCCACGGAACCCCUCAGAGACGAGGGGGUGCCCUUCGGGGAGCCGUGAGACAGGUGCUGCAUGGCUGUCGUCAGCUCGUGUCGUGAGAUGUUCGGUUAAGUCCGGCAACGAGCGCAACCCUCGCCAUUAGUUGCCAGCAGUUCGGCUGGGCACUCUAGUGGGACUGCCCGUGAAAGCGGGAGGAAGGCGGGGAUGAUGUCUAGUCAGCAUGGUCCUUACGGCCUGGGCGACACACGUGCUACAAUGGCCGGUACAGCGCGUAGCCACCUCGCGAGAGGGAGCGAAUCGCAAAAGCCGGUCCCAGUUCAGAUCGCAGUCUGCAACUCGACUGCGUGAAGUUGGAAUCGCUAGUAAUCGCGGAUCAGCCAUGCCGCGGUGAAUACGUUCCCGGGUCUUGUACACACCG